Molecule: ribosomal RNA, 443 nt
Filed under: uncultured bacterium
Lineage: Bacteria
Description: partial 16S ribosomal RNA
Rfam family: Bacterial small subunit ribosomal RNA
Source: RNAcentral
CCUACGGGCGGCAGCAGUGGGGAAUAUUGGACAAUGGGGGGAACCCUGAUCCAGCGACGCCGCGUGAGUGAAGAAGUAUUUUGGUAUGUAAAGCUCUAUCAGCAGGGAAGAAAGGAAUGACGGUAUCUGACUAAGAAGCCCCGGCUAACUAGGUGCCAGCAGCCGCGGGAAGACGGAGGGGGCAAGCGUUAUCCGGAGUUACUGGGUGUAAAGGGAGCGUAGAAGGUUAAGCAAGUCUGGAGUGAAAGGCGGGGGCCCAACCCCCGGACUGCUUUGGAAACUGUAUAACUGGAGUGCAGGAGAGGUAAGUGGAAUUCCUAGUGUAGCGGUGAAAUGCGUAGAUAUUAGGAGGUACACCAGUGGCGAAGGCGGCUUACUGGACUGUAACUGACGUUGAGGCUCGAAAGCGUGGGGAGCAAACAGGAUUAGAUACCCGGGUAGUC